AGUGAACGCUGGCGGUAGGCCUAACACAUGCAAGUCGAACGGCAGCACAGUAAGAGCUUGCUCUUACGGGUGGCGAGUGGCGGACGGGUGAGGAAUACAUCGGAAUCUACUUUUUCGUGGGGGAUAACGUAGGGAAACUUACGCUAAUACCGCAUACGACCUACGGGUGAAAGCAGGGGAUCUUCGGACCUUGCGCGAUUGAAUGAGCCGAUGUCGGAUUAGCUAGUUGGCGGGGUAAAGGCCCACCAAGGCGACGAUCCGUAGCUGGUCUGAGAGGAUGAUCAGCCACACGGGAACUGAGACACGGUCCAGCCUCCUACGGGAGGCAGCAGUGGGGAAUAUUGGACAAUGGGCGCAAGCCUGAUCCAGCCAUACCGCGUGGGUGAAGAAGGCCUUCGGGUUGUAAAGCCCUUUUGUUGGGAAAGAAAAGCAGCAGGUUAAUACCCCGCUGUUCUGACGGUACCCAAAGAAUAAGCACCGGCUAACUUCGU
Molecule: ribosomal RNA, 491 nt
Filed under: uncultured bacterium
Lineage: Bacteria
Description: partial 16S ribosomal RNA
Rfam family: Bacterial small subunit ribosomal RNA
Source: RNAcentral